This 506-nucleotide ribosomal RNA is filed under the name uncultured bacterium. Its description in RNAcentral is "bacterial SSU rRNA". It matches the Rfam family "Bacterial small subunit ribosomal RNA", at positions 29 to 507 of the family's 1533-position model. The record is from RNAcentral.
AACAAACGCUGGCGGCGUGCCUAACACAUGCAAGUCGAACGAGAAAGUCGGUUUCGGCCGAUGAGUAAAGUGGCGCACGGGUGAGUAACGCGUGGAUAAUCUACCCUUUAGUCCGGAAUAACUUGCCGAAAGGUGAACUAAUACCGGAUGACAUCCCGGGUUCUCCGGAAACCGGGAUCAAAGAAGGCCUCUGCUUGCAAGCUUUUGCUGAAGGAGUGAGUCCGCGUACCAUUAGCUAGUUGGUGGGGUAAUGGCCUACCAAGGUUAUGAUGGUUAGCUGGUCUGAGAGGAUGAUCAGCCACACUGGAACUGAAACACGGUCCAGACUCCUACGGGAGGCAGCAGUGAGGAAUAUUGCGCAAUGGGGGCAACCCUGACGCAGCAACGCCGCGUGAGUGAGGAAGGUUUUCGGAUUGUAAAGCUCUGUCGAGCGGAAAGAAAUGCACGAUGGCUAAUAUCCAUCAUGCUUGACGGUACCGCUAGAGGAAGCACCGGCUAACUCCGUG